AAGACUAUACUUUUAGGAAUCAUUUCUGUAGUUUUUGACUAGGAAAUGUGUUUUGAAAAUGAUUUGUUUCUCAAACUGCGAUGAUAAGUCUUGAUACUCUUUUCUGAGCAUGAAUCAGAUGUAGAAUAAUGAUUUAUUUUAUAAGCUGUACAUCAUUGAUGAAUGUUUUGUGUUGUUGUUUUGAAAUACAGAGGAAAAGAGUAUGAUCAGAGUGGU
Small nucleolar RNA from Labeo rohita (rohu), 216 nucleotides. RefSeq annotates it as small nucleolar RNA U3. The record is from RefSeq and is a predicted model, not a curated record. Lineage: Eukaryota; Metazoa; Chordata; Actinopteri; Cypriniformes; Cyprinidae. The transcript has a single exon.